RNAcentral lists this long non-coding RNA (1094 nucleotides) under Salmo trutta (river trout). Its description in RNAcentral is "lncRNA (ENSSTUG00000011473.1)". Lineage: Eukaryota; Metazoa; Chordata; Actinopteri; Salmoniformes; Salmonidae. The record is from RNAcentral.
GCGCCAAGUAGCCUGUAGUCCGUUCGAGAUACUGGUGUGUGAAGUCUGAACUGAUGUCUGCCUUAUUCUGCCGUCUGCUGCUCUCGUUCAACAUGUAACAGUUUUCUGUUUCUGCUUUAUGAUUCAAUUAUAUCCUCAGUGACAACAAUAAUUUUGAGCGAACAUUUUAGAAAAUAAGACAACUUUCAUUGCACUUAAAAAGAUUUUGGCAAUCAAUCUGCGCAUCUUUCCCUGAUCGUUUCAGACAGUCCUGUUCGUGGGUCGUGGCAGGUAUCCGCAUGCGUCGUCCUCAAGCAAUUGAUGCCGUGAGCUGUUCUCAGAUUUUUAAAUAGGCUUACCUUUUAUAUUUUAUCUGGACAUGUUAUUUCUCUCAAAGGCCCGCGGCAUUUGAAGGUUGGGCUCCUGUUGAGGGUGGUCAGAGAUAGAGUCACACCACUAGGUGUACUACCGAGAAGAGUGGCCAAGUUCCAAUACGCGGCCUGGUGUAUCUAGGUAGGGUGGUCCAGCCCAGGCUCCAGGCUAUGUCUCCCAGGCUGUGGGAGAGCUAUUCCAUGCUGAGUUGAAAGGGACCUGCUUGGCUGGGAAAUACGGGAACAGACAUGGGGCUGGGACAGUCCAACAAGGCUCCUGUCACCGAUGACACAGAGGAGAGUGAGUAAUGACCAAUGACUGUAUAUGAAUGGACAAAGCCAUCGAUCACAUGACACCAUUCAUUCCUAUGUGAAGACUCAAUAUCGCAUUGAAGCCAAAUGAAGUCGGUUAAGAUGGGGUCUUAUGAGACAUGACAUGCUCAUUUUGAGCUACUCCGGGAAGUGACUUUGAAGGCUACCUUAGUGCUGCUCCUACUCAUUGAGUAACUAAAUUAUCCUUAUAACUUCUUCUAUGUGCGAUUUUAAAAUAAUCUGUUCAAGAAGGACAUACACUGAGUGUACAAACAUUCCAUGACAUAGACUGACCAGGUGAAUCCAGGUCAAAGCAAUGAUCCCUUAUUGAUGUCACAUGUUAAAUCCACUUCAAUCAGCGUAGAUGAAGGUGAGGAGACAGGUUAAAGAAGGAUUUUAAGCCUUGAGACAGUUGAGACAUGGAUUGUGUAU